Molecule: ribosomal RNA, 332 nt
Filed under: uncultured eukaryote
Lineage: Eukaryota
Description: partial 18S ribosomal RNA
Rfam family: Eukaryotic small subunit ribosomal RNA
Source: RNAcentral
CCCUUAGAUGUUCUGGGCUGCACACGUGCUACACUGGCAGGUUCAGCGAGCUUCAUGCCUUGAUCUGAAAGGAAUGGGAAAUCUUUUCAAAACCUGCCGUGCUUGGGAUAGAUGUUUGCAAUUAUUCAUCUUCAACGAGGAUUGCCUUGUAAGCGCACGUCAUCAGCGUGCAUUGAAUACGACCCUGUAUUCUGUACACACCGCCCGUCGCUCCUACCGAUUGAAGUUUUCGGUGAGUUGACAGGAGGAUUUUUUUGAAACUGGUUCGCCAGUGGAUUUUAGAUCCAAAUGCCAACGAAUCGAUGGCUUUAGAGGAAGGAGAAGUCGUAACA